UUAUGUUGAAUAUUUUAAAAAAGAAUGCUUAAUACAUGAUUAGAGAUCUGAAAUGUUUUUCAUUUUUGAAUGCAGGGUUUUUACCUAUACUUAGUAAUCGUCUGAGUGCAAUGCGGCCAUGCACUGAUAUAGACAUAAAAUAUUGUAGUCUUGAUAUCUGAUUAAUUUGCAGGGACAUUCAUCUGUUAUUGUGAAUCCUGAGAAGCAUACAUCACUUGAUAAAGAAACGGGAUUUUAAACGAAGAUCAUACUUAACCUUGAGAGGAUAUUUCUGAAGAGAAGAAGGAAGUAGAACUACUUAGUGUGGAUACAAUUUUGGAGAAUAGAAAACUGGAGAUCAUCAUCCGUUGUAGAUCGAGAACCUGAAUUUUACCCACAACCAGAGGAGCUAGACUGUUUAACUCGCUUAGAAUAUUAUAUGGAAUUGAGUGAGUGAUACCCCGGCAGCCCAUGUAUAGUAUCGAGAAUAUUUAAUGAAUUAGUCCUUUACAGUUCAAAACUGGAAAAUUUCUUCAUUUGAUCAUAAAACUU
Saccostrea cuccullata (small rock oyster) is the source of this 531-nucleotide long non-coding RNA. RefSeq lists it as uncharacterized. Lineage: Eukaryota; Metazoa; Mollusca; Bivalvia; Ostreida; Ostreidae. The transcript has 2 exons. The record is from RefSeq and is a predicted model, not a curated record.